Molecule: non-coding RNA, 663 nt
Organism: Candidatus Wildermuthbacteria bacterium
Lineage: Bacteria; Candidatus Wildermuthiibacteriota
Source: Rfam
UGUCGGCUCAUCUUAUCCUGGGGCUGGAGAAGGUCCCAAGGGUUUGGCUGUUCGCCAAUUAAAAAGGUACGUGAGCUGGGUUCAAACCGUCAAAAAAGAACCAAAGAUAUCGAGAACACACGGCGGCCUUCACGAGUAAUCGUGAUUGAAAAACCGACUCAUAUCGGUGAACUCCAUAGAAAUUUUUAACCUGGAUUUCUAGGGACAAUACCGAGGGAAGUAUGUAGUAAGGCUUAGCCUUACUCAUACCCCGUAGAGACUUCUCGCCGAAGAGGCGAGAGAUGGAAGCAGAAGCUUUCAUAACACGUCGGUCUUCCUUGAGAAGGAAGGUGGUAUAGUCCGAUCCAUCUGGUAACAGAUGAAAAACAAAAUUAGCGUGAGACAGGUUGGUCCCUAUCUACCGCAGGCGUCGAGUCUUGAGGAGAUUCGUCUCUAGUACGAGAGGACCGAGAUGAACGAACCUCUGGUGUACCAGUUGUCGUGCCAACGGCAUUGCUGGGUAGCUAAGUUCGGAACGGAUAAGCGCUGAAAGCAUCUAAGCGCGAAGCCAACUCCAAGAUGAGGACUCAAAGAUCCCUCCGAGACGAGGAGGUUGAUAGGCUCCAGAUGUAAGUCCUGUAAGGGAUUAAGUCGAGGAGUACUAAUGAUCGUCGCAAUAUUCCU